Molecule: long non-coding RNA, 1051 nt
Filed under: Dasypus novemcinctus (nine-banded armadillo)
Lineage: Eukaryota; Metazoa; Chordata; Mammalia; Cingulata; Dasypodidae
Description: lncRNA (ENSDNOG00000051342.1)
Source: RNAcentral
UCUUUUCCCGGGAGAGAAGAGCUCCCUCACCCUUCUUUUUCACCUGGGCUUGAAAACACUUAUAAUGAACAUAUGCCCUUAAUCUGGAAAUUAUACAUAGAAGGUAAAAGAAAUGGAAAAUAAUUCCCAUUUAAAAAAACAAAACAAAACUGAGAGAGUGUGUGGGUGUGACUGGGUGUGUGUGUUUUGUGUAGGAAGUGCCUGGAGAGGAGACCAGCUCCGAGAAUUUGCAGCAGGCAUCCUCUAGCAGACUGAACAAAGCUUCCAAUAAUACGUGGUGACAUUUACACAAAUAUUUGUGGUUGUGCUUUCCAUUUCUUCUUAUAGGAAACAACUAAGAGUUUUAAAUGCCUUAGUGAUGGAAUCAGUGGACAGUAGUGGGAAAGAAUUUCCCUGAAACUUGACUAGCAAUCAAAAUAAGGAAGGAAGAUCUGAAAGAACGGAGAAUAUUUCAGCUAAUCAGGAUAUGGCACUUUCCGACAUCUGGAUGUCCAAACAAGUGUUUUGAAUUCAAUACGAUUAACAUGUGUCACUUUAAUGAAUAUUUUCCUUUGGAGUCGGUUGGGUGGUUACAUUUUUGGCGAUCGUCUCACGGUCUGUUGCUUACAUUACCUGACCCACAGUCCGCUUUCCUUGUGUUGGCUGUGGGAACGAAAAAAAAAAAAAGUGGAAAAUACCUCAGAACCUGGAGAACAGCACUGAGAAUACAGCUCGUCUUUUAACUGAACCAUUUCCAACGGAGGCUCUCCAAGGACGGUCUCUGGUCUGUGACAUCACGAGGAACAAAGAAAUGAAGAAGUCGUGCCCUCACAGACGUUGGGAGAAGCAGCGUUGCCGAUCUCCCUGCUGUAUCUGCACCACAACCCAUCCGCAGGCUCUGGGUGCAUGUGGCACAUAUCUCUGUGACAUGAAUGCUGCAGUCAUACUUGUGGAAGGUGUGAUUCUACCUCCCUACCAUUCAGCCUCCCGUCCAGGGCACAGAGAGUCCUCCAUGGAUGGGAAGGAAGGAGGCCAAGUCUAAGGAAUGUAAUGGACUAGAGUUCCAGGGGAU